RNAcentral lists this ribosomal RNA (464 nucleotides) under Vreelandella stevensii. RNAcentral's name for it is "partial 16S ribosomal RNA". It matches the Rfam family "Bacterial small subunit ribosomal RNA", at positions 338 to 795 of the family's 1533-position model. The record is from RNAcentral. Lineage: Bacteria; Pseudomonadati; Pseudomonadota; Gammaproteobacteria; Oceanospirillales; Halomonadaceae.
CCUACGGGUGGCAGCAGUGGGGAAUAUUGGACAAUGGGCGAAAGCCUGAUCCAGCCAUGCCGCGUGUGUGAAGAAGGCCUUCGGGUUGUAAAGCACUUUCAGUGGGGAAGAAAGCCUUGGGGCUAAUACCCUCGAGGAAGGACAUCACCCACAGAAGAAGCACCGGCUAACUCCGUGCCAGCAGCCGCGGUAAUACGGAGGGUGCGAGCGUUAAUCGGAAUUACUGGGCGUAAAGCGCGCGUAGGCGGUCUGAUAAGCCAGUUGUGAAAGCCCCGGGCUCAACCUGGGAACGGCAUCCGGAACUGUCAGGCUAGAGUGCAGGAGAGGAAGGUAGAAUUCCCGGUGUAGCGGUGAAAUGCGUAGAGAUCGGGAGGAAUACCAGUGGCGAAGGCGGCCUUCUGGACUGACACUGACGCUGAGGUGCGAAAGCGUGGGUAGCAAACAGGAUUAGAUACCCGGUAGUC